RNAcentral lists this ribosomal RNA (343 nucleotides) under Spodoptera frugiperda (fall armyworm). Its description in RNAcentral is "12S ribosomal RNA". Lineage: Eukaryota; Metazoa; Arthropoda; Insecta; Lepidoptera; Noctuidae. The record is from RNAcentral.
AUAAAUUUUUUAUAGUUUUAAUAAUUUAUUUAAAGUUUAUUUUACAUAUAAAUUUUAGUAUUAAUUUUACUUUAUUUUAAUAAUAAUUUAAUUAAUUUGUAGUAAUUAAUAUUAAACAAUUUAAGUAAUUAAGAUUUAGUAAUAUUUGAAAUUAAUAACAAAUUUUGUGCCAGCAGUUGCGGUUAAACAAAAGUUAAUUUAAAUUUUAUUAGUUAUUAAUAAAUAAUAAUUUUAAUUAAAUAAUAUAAAUUUUAAAUUAUUAAGUGAAAUUUUAAUUUAAUUUAAUAUUAUGAUAUAUUUAUGAUUUAAUAAAUUUUAUAAAAAACUAGGAUUAGAUACCCUA